AGACCACCAGCUAAGGUCCCAAAAUAUAUGUUAAGUGGAAAAGGAUGUGGCGUUGCCCAGACAACUAGGAUGUUGGCUUAGAAGCAGCCAUCAUUUAAAGAGUGCGUAAUAGCUCACUAGUCGAGUGACACUGCGCCGAAAAUGUACCGGGGCUAAACAUAUUACCGAAGCUGUGGAUUGUCCUUUGGACAAUGGUAGGAGAGCGUUCUAAGGGCGUUGAAGCAUGAUCGUAAGGACAUGUGGAGCGCUUAGAAGUGAGAAUGCCGGUGUGAGUAGCGAAAGACGGGUGAGAAUCCCGUCCACCGAUUGACUAAGGUUUCCAGAGGAAGGCUCGUCCGCUCUGGGUUAGUCGGGUCCUAAGCUGAGGCCGACAGGCGUAGGCGAUGGAUAACAGGUUGAUAUUCCUGUACCACCUAUAAUCGUUUUAAUCGAUGGGGGGACGCAGUAGGAUAGGCGAAGCGUGCGAUUGGAUUGCACGUCUAAGCAGUAAGGCUGAGUAUUAGGCAAAUCCGGUACUCGUUAAGGCUGAGCUGUGAUGGGGAGAAGACAUUGUGUCUUCGAGUCGUUGAUUUCACACUGCCGAGAAAAGCCUCUAGAUAGAAAAUAGGUGCCCGUACCGCAAACCGACACAGGUAGUCAAGAUGAGAAUUCUAAGGUGAGCGAGCGAACUCUCGUUAAGGAACUCGGCAAAAUGACCCCGUAACUUCGGGAGAAGGGGUGCUCUUUAGGGUUAACGCCCAGAAGAGCCGCAGUGAAUAGGCCCAAGCGACUGUUUAUCA
This 779-nucleotide ribosomal RNA is filed under the name Staphylococcus aureus. RNAcentral describes it as "partial 23S ribosomal RNA". It matches the Rfam family "Bacterial large subunit ribosomal RNA", at positions 1029 to 1809 of the family's 2925-position model. Lineage: Bacteria; Bacillati; Bacillota; Bacilli; Caryophanales; Staphylococcaceae. The record is from RNAcentral.